GAGUUUGAUCUUGGCUCAGGACGAACGCUGGCGGCGUGCUUAACACAUGCAAGUCGAACGGUAAGGCUCCAGCUUGCUGGGGUACACGAGUGGCGAACGGGUGAGUAACACGUGGGUGACCUGCCCUGCACUUCGGGGAUAAGCCUGGGAAACUGGGUCUAAUACCGGAUAGGACCGCACCGUGAGGGUGUGGUGGAAAGUUUUUUCGGUGUGGGAUGGGCCCGCGGCCUAUCAGCUUGUUGGUGGGGUAAUGGCCUACCAAGGCGGCGACGGGUAGCCGGCCUGAGAGGGUGGACGGCCACAUUGGGACUGAGACACGGCCCAGACUCCUACGGGAGGCAGCAGUGGGGAAUAUUGCACAAUGGGCGGAAGCCUGAUGCAGCGACGCCGCGUGGGGGAUGACGGCCUCGGUUGUAACGUACC
RNAcentral lists this ribosomal RNA (423 nucleotides) under uncultured microorganism. RNAcentral's name for it is "bacterial SSU rRNA". It matches the Rfam family "Bacterial small subunit ribosomal RNA", at positions 9 to 434 of the family's 1533-position model. The record is from RNAcentral.